Molecule: ribosomal RNA, 213 nt
Filed under: uncultured fungus
Lineage: Eukaryota; Fungi
Description: partial small subunit ribosomal RNA
Rfam family: Eukaryotic small subunit ribosomal RNA (bases 38-213)
Source: RNAcentral
GGACUAAUAUGUUGGUCGUGCCUCGGUACGUACUGGCUUGUUGGUUUCUACCUUCUGACGAACCAUGAUGUCAUUAAUUUGGUGUCUUGGGGAAUCAGGACUGUUACUUUGAAAAAAUUAGAGUGUUUAAAGCAGGCUCACGCUUGAAUACAUUAGCAUGGAAUAAUAAAACAGGACUUUGGUCGUGUUUUGUUGGUUUUAAGGACCGAAGUA